ACGGGAGGCAGCAGUGAGGAAUAUUGGUCAAUGGGCGGAAGCCUGAACCAGCCAAGUAGCGUGCAGGAUGACGGCCCUAUGGGUUGUAAACUGCUUUUAUACGGGAAUAAAUGGCUUCACGUGUGGGGUUUUGCAUGUACCGUAUGAAUAAGGACCGGCUAAUUCCGUGCCAGCAGCCGCGGUAAUACGGAAGGUCCGGGCGUUAUCCGGAUUUAUUGGGUUUAAAGGGAGCGUAGGCGGCCUUUUAAGCGUGUUGUGAAAUGUCCCGGCUCAACCGUGGCACUGCAGCGCGAACUGGAGGGCUUGAGUGCGCCGGAAGUAGGCGGAAUUCGUUGUGUAGCGGUGAAAUGCUUAGAUAUGACGAAGAACUCCGAUUGCGAAGGCAGCUUACUGUCGCGUAACUGACGCUGAAGCUCGAAAGUGCGGGUAUCGAACAGGAUUAGAUACCCUGGUA
Molecule: ribosomal RNA, 454 nt
Filed under: uncultured Prevotella sp.
Lineage: Bacteria; Pseudomonadati; Bacteroidota; Bacteroidia; Bacteroidales; Prevotellaceae
Description: bacterial SSU rRNA
Rfam family: Bacterial small subunit ribosomal RNA
Source: RNAcentral